RNAcentral lists this long non-coding RNA (489 nucleotides) under Penaeus japonicus. RNAcentral describes it as "uncharacterized LOC122263903". The record is from RNAcentral. Lineage: Eukaryota; Metazoa; Arthropoda; Malacostraca; Decapoda; Penaeidae.
CACCAAUCGGUCGGUUGGGAAAUUCGUCGAGUUGCCACGCGCUACGUAACGAUCCUAGAGUAUAUAAGGCUCUGCGGCCGGUCAACAAGAACAGUCUCUUCGUUGCCCUAACCUUUGCUGGGAAGCCUCUCUGAGCGAUGAUGAGCCGUUGUGUGUUCCUGCUCCUGCUGGUGACGCUGGCGCUGGCGGCGCUGGCGGUGGCCGGCGGGCCGAUGCCAAAGGCCGAGGCCGAGCCGCACUUCUUCAGGCCAUACGGCUACUACAGACCCUACGGCUAUCACGGCUACCGCAGACCUUACUUUGGGUGAGAGAGAAGGGAGGGCGGACCGUCAAGCGAGGGGGUACUUAGCCAUCCGAGCCCAGCUGAUUUCACCAUCAAGGAUGCUGAGUCUCUCCUAGUGGUCCUAUGAAAUGUUGAUUAUUGAUGCUGUACGAUUUGAAAUUAAGCUUUUUUGCAUCAAAAUUUUGAAAUAAAUUGUUGUGACUUUA